GGAUAUAACAUCAGGCAUUUCUUAAAUGUUAUCCUUGCUUUAGAGGUAAACAGAAGCCCAAAGAUAUUUGAAAACUUACCCAGCUAGUAUGGUAAAUGACGGACUCCAGUUCAAACCCACGUCUUAGAUUCAAGGCCUAUAAAAAUCUGUUUAGAACUUGUAUUUUCUUGUGGACUUAACAAAGAGGAGGAGAGCUAGGUUCCUAAGCCCAUUCAAGAAAGUCUAUUUGGUCUUUAAUGGAAAUGAGAUACUAAUGCCCCCAAAUAUUCCAACAAGGACUGAGAGAAAACAGAAAAAUGAAGUGGAUGUUGUUCAGAUGUUGACAUUGUGGAGCCCAGGGCCCUUUGCCAUGGCCACAAUUGGAGCCCCUGCAAGAAAACUACAAGGGCAGGAACUUUCCCUCACUACUGGCCCCAACCUGGAUCCCUGCAGAAACAGAAUCACCAAAGUCAAAGGAUUACUGGGCAGCAAAGGUGAAUGAAGCAAACGGCUAAUAUCUGACACCAUUUCCAAAGCAACUGCCUGGAUAAGCUUUUAAUAGAAUUUCCCAGGUUACAACUCUGAAGAUGUAGAAAGCAAGUUACCAUGGAAACAAAUCGUCUCUUUAAAGAGAGACAGGCUCCUCUCCUAGCUUGAGCUCUUUCCAGAGGGAGGAGGGGGGCGGGGGAAAAGAAAGGCCAAGGAUCUGCAACUAGAACAAUGAAGGAAGUUUUCUUCUCAUAAUUAAAAUUGUACCAAUGAAAUUUUUUUGGAGGGUCAGCUCAAGACUAUUUCAUUUUGGGGCUGUCCUAUUAAAAGAAACCUCGAGUCAGAUAUUUUGAGAUACGUAAGCAAAAUGACAUUUUACUGAUCAUUUCUGUAAAUUGUGUUCUUUGUUCAGUUAGUGACACAUGCUGGUAACAAGUGAAACCCUCCAGCACAUGACAUUGAAGGCAAAGAUGUCACUUCCCUUUGUCUUCUAUUCCCAACACACCACCUGUGAGAUGACAUUCUGUGGGCUAUUUUUCUCUGUCUCUGUCUAUAUUCUUUUAGUAUAUAAUUAAAAGAAUAUAGAUAAACAAAAUAAACCAAUUUUUAAAAAGGGCAAAGGACUUUAACAGCUAUAUCUCUAAAGAGAUGUACAAAUGACCAGCAGGCACAAGAAAAGAUGCUCAACAUCACUAAU
This is a long non-coding RNA of Myotis davidii, 1165 nucleotides long. RefSeq lists it as uncharacterized. NCBI's taxonomy places the organism in Eukaryota, Metazoa, Chordata, Mammalia, Chiroptera, Vespertilionidae. The record is from RefSeq and is a predicted model, not a curated record. The transcript has 3 exons.